Long non-coding RNA from Raphanus sativus (radish), 1240 nucleotides. RefSeq lists it as uncharacterized. The transcript has 3 exons. The record is from RefSeq and is a predicted model, not a curated record. Lineage: Eukaryota; Viridiplantae; Streptophyta; Magnoliopsida; Brassicales; Brassicaceae.
UCAUCCUCUCUUCGCCGUUUUCUCACUUCCACAUCUUAGACCUAAUCUGUUGAGCCUUUCGACUCCCACCCCUCCUGUUUCUCAUCUUUUCAUAUCCUUUUUGACGAUUAAUUCACCCCUACCAUCUCUAAUCUAUCAUUCCCAAACUCAUUCAAUUGAUUCCUUUCACUUUCCUCUCUGUUUUUCUAUUUAUAAGCUUUUUUCAUUUCUUAUUUCUCCACCGAAAUUGCUAAUCUACUCUUAAACACUCAACCUGAUGGAUCCCACCGGAAACUCUUCACUCUCCGGCAUCCGCGAGAACGGCAAGAAGACCGUCGCCUCCUCUGCAAAUCCGAAACCAAACGGGAAGUCCACUGAGAAAUGCAGGAGGCCGUCAUUGGAUCGCUGACUACGACGAGGAAGAUUGGAAACCGCUCAAGUUUGUGUCUUUUAGUUCUGCAACUCCCUCUCAAUUGAUUUCUAGAAAGUUUCUCUCUAAAAAUGACAGGAGGCAGUGCACUUUAGGGCACAGUGUAAGGAGAGGAAGUUGAUUACCGUACGGCGGAUUGCCUCGCUGAAGAAUAAUGUAGCGGUUGAUUUUCACCACCAUAACCGUUACUGACAUCGCUGGAAACAAAAAAAAGGAAAAAAGAUGCCAAGAAAGAAGAUUUCAGGAAGUAUUUAGAGUUCAGUAGAGUUAUUGAUUCUCUAACCAAAGUUGUUUCGUAUGAGCAGAAUGACAAGUCUUCCUCUGCUUUAGAGUCAGUAAGUUCCUGGACACCUACUUUGUUUCUAACCAGUAUGUACCCAGGUGAUGAUAGCUUCUACGAACUUUGUCGGGUGGAACUGGGUUGCUCUUGCCAGGCAGUCAUGGUACUGCUGUGGAGUCACGCAAGAAGCUAUCAGAAGAAGUCUAAAACUUUGAUGUGCAAGAUACCGACUCCGUAUCAUCAUGCAGAGCACCUUCUGCGAGCUUCUUCUUCUCUACAACCAAACCUAUCAACAGUUCUUCUCCUUCCUCAGUAAGACUCCUCUCGGUUUCUUGGAACUCGGGUUGUGAAGCUCAGUAUCCUACUCGGACCCCCCCAAUGGAUCUAGAGCCACUUGCUGGUUCAAGUUCGGAAAGGUGAGAAUGCUGGAAUCUAUGGCAGCCAAUCACGGGAUGAUUUCGACAGAGACGAUGUUGAACAGUAUUUCAACUAUAUGGGGAUGCUUGCGGUGGAAGGAACCUUAGAUUGUCAUGCAUAUAUUUAAGUUUAAA